Molecule: ribosomal RNA, 465 nt
Filed under: Vreelandella stevensii
Lineage: Bacteria; Pseudomonadati; Pseudomonadota; Gammaproteobacteria; Oceanospirillales; Halomonadaceae
Description: partial 16S ribosomal RNA
Rfam family: Bacterial small subunit ribosomal RNA
Source: RNAcentral
CCUACGGGAGGCAGCAGUGGGGAAUAUUGGACAAUGGGGGCAACCCUGAUCCAGCCAUGCCGCGUGUGUGAAGAAGGCCCUCGGGUUGUAAAGCACUUUCAGUGAGGAAGAACGCCUGGUGGUUAAUACCCAUCAGGAAAGACAUCACUCACAGAAGAAGCACCGGCUAACUCCGUGCCAGCAGCCGCGGUAAUACGGAGGGUGCGAGCGGUAAUCGGAAUUACUGGGCGUAAAGCGCGCGUAGGUGGCUUGAUAAGCCGGUUGUGAAAGCCCCGGGCUCAACCUGGGAACGGCAUCCGGAACUGUCAAGCUAGAGUGCAGGAGAGGAAGGUAGAAUUCCCGGUGUAGCGGUGAAAUGCGUAGAGAUCGGGAGGAAUACCAGUGGCGAAGGCGGCCUUCUGGACUGACACUGACACUGAGGUGCGAAAGCGUGGGUAGCAAACAGGAUUAGAUACCCCGGUAGUC